RNAcentral lists this ribosomal RNA (332 nucleotides) under uncultured eukaryote. RNAcentral describes it as "partial 18S ribosomal RNA". It matches the Rfam family "Eukaryotic small subunit ribosomal RNA", at positions 1470 to 1796 of the family's 1831-position model. The record is from RNAcentral.
UCCUUAGAUGUUCUGGGCCGCACGCGCGCUACACUGACGGAGGCAGCGAGCAUGUCCUUCGCCGAGAGGUGUGGGGAAUCUUGUGAGUCUCCGUCGUGCUGGGGAUGGAUGGUUGCAAUUGUCGAUCUUGAACGAGGAAUUCCUAGUAAGCGCGAGUCAUCAGCUCGCGCUGAUUACGUCCCUGCCCUUUGUACACACCGCCCGUCGCUACUACCGAUUGAAUCGUUUAGCGAGAAUUUUGGAUCGGAGCCCUGGUGGGCAGCGAUGUCCGCCUGGGAUUUACCGAGAAAUCAUUCCAGCUUGCCGAUUUAGAGGAAGUAAAAGUCGUAACA